This 213-nucleotide ribosomal RNA is filed under the name Corynespora cassiicola. RNAcentral's name for it is "partial large subunit ribosomal RNA". The record is from RNAcentral. Lineage: Eukaryota; Fungi; Ascomycota; Dothideomycetes; Pleosporales; Corynesporascaceae.
AAGCGCUUGCAGCCAGACUUGCCUGUAGUUGCUCAGCCGGGCUCCGGCCCGGUGCACUCUUCUGCGGGCAGGCCAGCAUCAGUUCGGGCGGCCGGAUAAAGACCUCUGUCACGUACCUCCCUCCGGGGAGGACUUAUAGGGGAGGUGAAAUGCGGCCAGUCCGGACUGAGGUCCGCGCAUCUGCUAGGAUGCUGGCGUAAUGGCUGUAAGCGG